RNAcentral lists this ribosomal RNA (467 nucleotides) under uncultured bacterium. RNAcentral describes it as "partial 16S ribosomal RNA". It matches the Rfam family "Bacterial small subunit ribosomal RNA", at positions 28 to 507 of the family's 1533-position model. The record is from RNAcentral.
GACGAACGCUGGCGGCGUGCUUAACACAUGCAAGUCGAACGAUGACGACCGAGCUUGCUCGGUCUGAUUAGUGGCGAACGGGUGAGUAACACGUGAGCAACCUGCCCUUCACUCUGGGAUAACCUCGGGAAAUCGGGGCUAAUACCGGAUAUGAGCUCCUGUCGCAUGGCGGGUGUUGGAAAGUUUUUCGGUGAAGGAUGGGCUCGCGGCCUAUCAGUUUGUUGGUGAGGUAGUGGCUCACCAAGGCGAUGACGGGUAGCCGGCCUGAGAGGGCGACCGGCCACACUGGGACUGAGACACGGCCCAGACUCCUACGGGAGGCAGCAGUGGGGAAUAUUGCACAAUGGGCGAAAGCCUGAUGCAGCGACGCCGCGUGAGGGAUGACGGCCUUCGGGUUGUAAACCUCUUUCAGCAGGGAAGAAGCGAAAGUGACGGUACCUGCAAAAGAAGCGCCGGCUAACUACGUG